UAGGGAAUCUUCCGCAAUGGGCGAAAGCCUGACGGAGCAACGCCGCGUGAGUGAUGAAGGUCUUCGGAUCGUAAAACUCUGUUAUUAGGGAAGAACAAAUGUGUAAGUAACUAUGCACGUCUUGACGGUACCUAAUCAGAAAGCCACGGCUAACUACGUGCCAGCAGCCGCGGUAAUACGUAGGUGGCAAGCGUUAUCCGGAAUUAUUGGGCGUAAAGCGCGCGUAGGCGGUUUUUUAAGUCUGAUGUGAAAGCCCACGGCUCAACCGUGGAGGGCCAUUGGAAACUGGAAAACUUGAGUGCAGAAGAGGAAAGUGGAAUUCCAUGUGUAGCGGUGAAAUGCGCAGAGAUAUGGAGGAACACCAGUGGCGAAGGCGACUUUCUGGUCUGUAACUGACGCUGAUGUGCGAAAGCGUGGGGAUCAAACAGGAUUAGAUACCCUGGUAGUCCACGCCGUAAACGAUGAGUGCUAAGUGUUAGGGGGUUUCCGCCCCUUAGUGCUGCAGCUAACGCAUUAAGCACUCCGCCUGGGGAGUACGACCGCAAGGUUG
RNAcentral lists this ribosomal RNA (550 nucleotides) under uncultured bacterium. RNAcentral's name for it is "bacterial SSU rRNA". It matches the Rfam family "Bacterial small subunit ribosomal RNA", at positions 355 to 896 of the family's 1533-position model. The record is from RNAcentral.